This 301-nucleotide ribosomal RNA is filed under the name uncultured bacterium. Its description in RNAcentral is "partial 16S ribosomal RNA". It matches the Rfam family "Bacterial small subunit ribosomal RNA", at positions 509 to 807 of the family's 1533-position model. The record is from RNAcentral.
CAGUCGCCGCGGGAAUACGAAGGGUGCAAGCGUUAAUCGGAUUUACUGGGCGUAAAGCGUGCGUAGGCGGCUUUUUAAGUCGGAUGUGAAAUCCCUGAGCUUAACUUAGGAAUUGCAUUCGAUACUGGGAAGCUAGAGUAUGGGAGAGGAUGGUAGAAUUCCAGGUGUAGCGGUGAAAUGCGUAGAGAUCUGGAGGAAUACCGAUGGCGAAGGCAGCCAUCUGGCCUAAUACUGACGCUGAGGUACGAAAGCAUGGGGAGCAAACAGGAUUAGAUACCCCCGUAGUCCCUGUCUCUUAUAC